AUAUAUAAAAAUGCAUACUAAAAAUUUAACUAAUAUACUGAAACUUAAUCUAAGAUACCCUGUGAAAACAGCAGUUCCAUAACACAUGGAAUGAAAAGUGACUAGUGCUGAUACUUUGAACCCCUUCUUUUUCAUUCUAUAUUUAGUAAAGGUUUAGCAACCAUGCUUAGUAUAACCAGAGUUAGUGCAAUUAGAGCUAGAAAGGUCCUCAAACGC
Non-coding RNA from Arachis ipaensis, 216 nucleotides. Lineage: Eukaryota; Viridiplantae; Streptophyta; Magnoliopsida; Fabales; Fabaceae. The record is from RefSeq and is a predicted model, not a curated record.